This 69-nucleotide transfer RNA is filed under the name Acanthurus guttatus (whitespotted surgeonfish). Its description in RNAcentral is "tRNA-Met". It matches the Rfam family "tRNA". Rfam says of the family: Transfer RNA (tRNA) molecules are approximately 80 nucleotides in length. Lineage: Eukaryota; Metazoa; Chordata; Actinopteri; Acanthuriformes; Acanthuridae. RNAcentral also lists the same sequence under 15 other names. The record is from RNAcentral.
AGUAAGGUCAGCUAAUUAAGCUCUCGGGCCCAUACCCCGAACAUGUUGGUUAAACUCCUUCCUUUACUA